Dermacentor andersoni is the source of this 320-nucleotide long non-coding RNA. RefSeq lists it as uncharacterized. NCBI's taxonomy places the organism in Eukaryota, Metazoa, Arthropoda, Arachnida, Ixodida, Ixodidae. The record is from RefSeq and is a predicted model, not a curated record.
ACAGUCUCAGAAUAUACGGAGAAAAAUCUUUUUGAAGAAGAUAAACUUUUUUGGAAGAAGAUAAACUUUUUUUGAAGCAACAUGGACAAGCCGGCAUGCAAAUGCGGAGAUCCCAAGUGCGUGUGCACCACACAGUGCAAGUGUGCCACCGGCGGAUGCCCCUGUGACAGGUGCAAGAAGUAGCAGCUCGCCUGGGAGACUCCGGCGCUUGAUCCAUGGACGCUUCAAGUCGGCCUCAAACCUGAACGGGUGCUGCAAAGAAAAAAAAAUGCAGUAGCUAUUCUUGUUUCGAGAGCCAAUAAAAAAAGGUAGAAAAUGAA